GCCCGGAUGGUGGAAUUGGUAGACACGCUAGGUUCAGGGUCUAGUGAGGGUUCCCUCAUGCAGGUUCGAGUCCUGUUCCGGGCA
RNAcentral lists this transfer RNA (84 nucleotides) under Ignavibacteriales bacterium. Its description in RNAcentral is "tRNA-Leu". It matches the Rfam family "tRNA". From Rfam's summary of the family: Transfer RNA (tRNA) molecules are approximately 80 nucleotides in length. Their secondary structure includes four short double-helical elements and three loops (D, anti-codon, and T loops). Further hydrogen bonds mediate the characteristic L-shaped molecular structure. tRNAs have two regions of fundamental functional importance: the anti-codon, which is responsible for specific mRNA codon recognition, and the 3' end, to which the tRNAs corresponding amino acid is attached (by aminoacyl-tRNA synthetases). tRNAs cope with the degeneracy of the genetic code in two manners: having more than one tRNA (with a specific anti-codon) for a particular amino acid; and 'wobble' base-pairing, i.e. permitting non-standard base-pairing at the 3rd anti-codon position. Lineage: Bacteria; Pseudomonadati; Ignavibacteriota; Ignavibacteria; Ignavibacteriales. RNAcentral also lists the same sequence under 2 other names. The record is from RNAcentral.